Sapajus apella (tufted capuchin) is the source of this 1228-nucleotide long non-coding RNA. RefSeq lists it as uncharacterized. The record is from RefSeq and is a predicted model, not a curated record. Lineage: Eukaryota; Metazoa; Chordata; Mammalia; Primates; Cebidae. The transcript is spliced from 3 exons.
UCUUUCUUUUUUUUUUUUCUUUUUUUUUUUUUUUUUUUUUUUGGAUCUAUACCCAGUGUCAGGAUUGCUUGGUCAUACAAUAGUUGCAUUUUAAGUUUCUUGAAGAACCUCCUUACUGUUCCCCAUAGUGGUUGUACUAAUUUACAUUCCACCAACAGUGUGUGAGCGUUCCCCUUUCUCCACAUUCUUGCCAGCAUUUGUUAUUUUCUUUCUUUUCCGUAGUAGCCAUUUUGACUGGGGAGAUGGCUUCUCAUUGUGGUUUUGAUUUGCAUUUCCCUGACCAUUAAUAUUGUUGAACGUUUUUUAAUAUAGCUGUUGGCUAUUUGUAUGAAUAUUUUGGGAAAUAUUCUGACUUUUGCCUGUUCUUAAUUGGAUUAUUUGGUUUUUGCUAUUGAGUUUGAGUUCCUGUAUAUUCUGGUUAUUAAUCUCUCAUCUAAUGAAUAAUUUGCAAAUUUUUUUUCAAUUCUGUAGGUUGUUUCUUCACUUCAUUGAUUAUUUUCUUUGCUGUGCAGAAGCUUUCUAGCUUGAUAGAAUCUCUUGUUUCUAUAUUUCCUUUGAUUGCCUGUGCUUUUGAGGUCUUGCUCAAUAAAUAGUUGCCCAGCUUCAUGUCCUGAAGUGUUUCUCCAAUGUUUUCUUAUAGUAGUUUCAUGGUUUUAGGUCUUAUAUUUAAAUAUUUAAGCUGUUUUGAUAUAACUUUUGUAUAUAGUGAGAGAGAGGGGUCUAGUUUCUUUCUUUGGCAUAUGGCUAUACAGAUUUUCCUUUCUCCGUGUAUGUUCUUGGUGACUUUCUUGGAAAUCCAUGGACUGUAAAUAUGUGGAUUUGUUUCUAGGUUUUCUGUUCUCUUCCAUUCCAUCCAUCUAUGUGCCUGUUUUUAUGCUGUUUCCAUGCUUCUUUUGGUUAUUGUACUUUUAUAUAGCAUUUUGAAGUCAGGUAAUGUGAUGCCUCCAGCUUCAUUUUCUUUGUUCAGGAUGCUUUUGUUGUUCCAUACAAAUUUCAGGAUGGCUUUUUUCUUGUCAUGUGCAGAAUGUCAUUAAUAUUUUGAUACGGAUUAUGCUGAAAAUAUAGGUUGCUUUGAGUAGUAUCGUUUUAACUAUAUUCUAAUCUACAUGGAGUAUCUUUCCAGUUUAUUAUGUUCUCUUCAAUUUCUUUUAUCAGUGCCUUAUAGUUUUAAUUGUAGAGAGCUCACUUCUUUUGUUAAGUUUAGUUCUAGGUAUUUAUUUUUAAAUGU